CCACGUCAUCUUCUUACAGUAUAAUAUUUACAAUUUGUUAACUUUCAUAAAAAAAAAACAAAUAAUAUGAUAAAAACAAAAAAAAACAAAAAAAAAUAAUUACAAAAACACGUUCGGGAAAGUUAGGGUUGCUUCGGGGAAUGAGCAACCUGUCUUACUGCCAAGUGCCCAACUUCCUGGUAGAUGCGGCUUCCCCCAAACCCCCCUCAAUUUGUCAUAAUUUACACAACUGC
Molecule: long non-coding RNA, 233 nt
Filed under: Gossypium raimondii (Peruvian cotton)
Lineage: Eukaryota; Viridiplantae; Streptophyta; Magnoliopsida; Malvales; Malvaceae
Description: long non-coding RNA (GRAI_LNC008762)
Source: RNAcentral